Molecule: long non-coding RNA, 378 nt
Filed under: Vigna radiata
Lineage: Eukaryota; Viridiplantae; Streptophyta; Magnoliopsida; Fabales; Fabaceae
Description: long non-coding RNA (VRAD_LNC001860)
Source: RNAcentral
CCUAGACUGAAGUCUCUUUCUAUCUUUAGUUUUCCACAUCCCUUGAAUCUAUCCAGAAUGCUCUUAUUUAUAGACUUUCGCAUCACGACUCAAGCAAUGGCUCACACCUUCAGUGUUGAGGUUUCCUCCCUUGGUGGGUUUCUUGAUGGCUCAAGCAAUGAAUUCCUAGGCUAGAGUUGUUUUGAGGUUGCUUAAUAAUGAAGCACUCUUCCAUGGCUCAAGCUCUAACUUAUGACUUAAGGAAAUCUUUUUCAGUGAUUUUGCUCUAUGACUCAAGCCCUCAGGUGAUUCUAUAGCCGUGACAAGGAAGAUUCUUCCAAAAUGGUUGGAAAUCUUCUUCUUUUCUUCAAAAUACAGAUGUAAUUCCUUGGAUUCAUA